UGGGGAAUAUUGGACAAUGGGCGCAAGCCUGAUCCAGCCAUGCCGCGUGUGUGAAGAAGGCCUUUUGGUUGUAAAGCACUUUAAGCGAGGAGGAGGCUACUUGGAUUAAUACUCUAGGAUAGUGGACGUUACUCGCAGAAUAAGCACCGGCUAACUCUGUGCCAGCAGCCGCGGUAAUACAGAGGGUGCGAGCGUUAAUCGGAUUUACUGGGCGUAAAGCGUGCGUAGGCGGCUUUUUAAGUCGGAUGUGAAAUCCCUGAGCUUAACUUAGGAAUUGCAUUCGAUACUGGGAAGCUAGAGUAUGGGAGAGGAUGGUAGAAUCCCAGGUGUAGCGGUGAAAUGCGUAGAGAUCUGGAGGAAUACCGAUGGCGAAGGCAGCCAUCUGGCCUAAUACUGACGCUGAGGUACGAAAGCAUGGGGAGCAAACAGG
Molecule: ribosomal RNA, 430 nt
Filed under: Acidobacteriota bacterium
Lineage: Bacteria; Pseudomonadati; Acidobacteriota
Description: Acidobacteria bacterium partial 16S ribosomal RNA
Rfam family: Bacterial small subunit ribosomal RNA
Source: RNAcentral